This 449-nucleotide ribosomal RNA is filed under the name uncultured bacterium. RNAcentral's name for it is "partial 16S ribosomal RNA". It matches the Rfam family "Bacterial small subunit ribosomal RNA", at positions 29 to 523 of the family's 1533-position model. The record is from RNAcentral.
AACGAACGCUGGCGGCAGGCUUAACACAUGCAAGUCGAACGGUCUCUUCGGAGGCAGUGGCAGACGGGUGAGUAACGCGUGGGAAUCUACCCAGUUCUACGGAACAACAGUUGGAAACGACUGCUAAUACCGUAUACGCCCUACGGGGGAAAGAUUUAUCGGAAUUGGAUGAGCCCGCGUAAGAUUAGCUAGUUGGUGGGGUAAUGGCCUACCAAGGCGACGAUCUUUAGCUGGUCUGAGAGGAUGAUCAGCCACACUGGGACUAAGACACGGCCCAGACUCCUACGGGAGGCAGCAGUGGGGAAUAUUGGACAAUGGGCGCAAGCCUGAUCCAGCCAUGCCGCGUGAGUGAUGAAGGCCUUAGGGUUGUAAAGCUCUUUCAGUGGGGACGAUAAUGACGGUACCCACAGAAGAAGCCCCGGCUAACUUCGUGCCAGCAGCCGCAGUAA